Molecule: ribosomal RNA, 1952 nt
Filed under: human gut metagenome
Description: bacterial LSU rRNA
Rfam family: Bacterial large subunit ribosomal RNA
Source: RNAcentral
UCAAGCGAACAAGGGCGCAGGGCGAAUGCCUUGGCACUGGGAGCCGAUGAAAGACGUGAUAAGCUGCGAUAAGCUUCGGGGAGCUGCAAAUAAGCAUUGAUCCGGAGAUUUCUGAAUGAGGAAACUCACCUGGGUUCAUACUCAGGUACGUUAUACUGAACUUAAAAAUAGGUAUAUCGAGGGAACCGCCUGAACUGAAACAUCUAAGUAGGGCGAGGAAGAGACAUCAAACGAGAUUCCGUAAGUAGUGGCGAGCGAACGCGGAAGAGGGCAAACCGGGAGUAGAAAUACUUCCGGGGUACGGACUGCUUUUAGGACUUAAUCUGUUAACCGAACGGCAUGGGAAGGCCGGUCAGAGAGUGUGAGAACCACGUAGGUGAAAACGGAGAGAGCUGCGCAGGAUCCAGAGUACGGCCAGACACGUGAAACCUGGUCGGAAUACGGGGGGACCACCCUCCAACCCUAAAUACUACCCAGUGACCGAUAGCGUAUAGUACUGUGAAGGAAAGGUGAAAAGCACCCCGGGAGGGGAGUGAAAAAGAACCUGAAACCCUGUGCCUACAAGCACCUAGAGCACGUCAAUGUGUGAUAGGGUACUUUUUGUAGAACGGUCCGGCGAGCGAUUGUAUGCAGCAAGGUUAAGGACUUAAGGUCUGGAGCCGAAGCGAAAGCGAGUUUGAAAAGGGCGUUAAGUUGCAUAUAAUGGGCCCGAAACCGGGUGACCUACCCAUGGUCAGGUUGAAGUGGAAGUAAAAUUCCAUGGAGGACCGAACCGACCUCCGUUGAAAAGGCGGCGGAUGAACUGUGGGUAGCGGAGAAAUUCCAAUCGAACCCGGAGAUAGCUGGUUCUCCCCGAAAUAGUUUUAGGACUAGCCUCAAGUUAGAUACCUGGAGGUAAAGCACUGAAUAGCCUAGCGGCCGAGAGGUUAGCGAAGCUUAUCAAACUCAGAAUGCCAGAGUAUUGAUGCUUGGGAGUCAGACAGUGUCAGAUAAAUGUCAUUGUCAAAAGGGAAACAGCCCAGAUCUACAGCUAAGGUCCCAAAGUCAGGUUAAGUGGAAAACGAUGUGAAGAUACGCAGACAACCAGGAUGUUGGCUCAGAAGCAGCCACUCAUUCAAAGAGUGCGUAAUAGCUCACUGGUCGAGCGUCUUUGCGCGGAGAAUUUAACGGGGCUAAACCUGACACCGAAGCUUAGGCAAUACAGCAAUGUAUUGGGUAGGGGAGCGUUGUAUACGCGGAGAAACAGUAGCGUAAGCGGCUGUGGAGUGUAUAGAAGUGAGAAUGCCGGAAUGAGUAGCGCGAAUGCAGUGAGAAUCUGCAUGGCCGAAAGCCUCAGGUUUCUGGAGGAAGGUUCGUCCGCUCCAGGUUAGUCGGGAGCUAAGGUGAGGCCGGAAGGCGUAGCCGAUGCACAGACGGUAGAGAUUCCGUCACCACCAAAAGAGUUAAGCACAGGGACACAUUUGAAGUCUCAGAGCCGGGUGUUGGUUCCGGUAGAGAUCGAGGGAAAUUAGUACCGAAGUCUGAGAUGGAAGAUGGCGAGAAAAGCUGUGUGUAUUUCUGAGGUGCCCGUACCGCAAACCGACACAGGUAGGUAGGAAGAAGAUUCUAAGGCCAACGGGAGAAGGGUUGUUAAGGAACUCGGCAAAUUGACCCCGUAACUUCGGGAGAAGGGGUGCUCCAGAGAUGGAGCCGCAGAGAAUCGGCCCAAGCAACUGUUUACCAAAAACACAGGUUUGUGCUAAAUCGAAAGAUGACGUAUACGAGCUGACGCCUGCCCGGUGCUGGAAGGUUAAGAGGAGAUGUGCAAGCAUUGAAUCGAAGCCCCAGUGAACGGCGGCCGUAACUAUAACGGUCCUAAGGUAGCGAAAUUCCUUGUCAGGUAAGUUCUGACCCGCAUGAAAGGCGUAAUGAUUUGGGCACUGUCUCAACAGCCCGCCCGGCGAAAUUGUAGU